This is a long non-coding RNA of Corapipo altera (White-ruffed manakin), 127 nucleotides long. RefSeq lists it as uncharacterized. The transcript is spliced from 3 exons. The record is from RefSeq and is a predicted model, not a curated record. NCBI's taxonomy places the organism in Eukaryota, Metazoa, Chordata, Aves, Passeriformes, Pipridae.
ACCUUGUGAUUCUUUUCACACACACCUUAAUCUUAGCUCUGGCUCGCUCAGGACCACAAUAUUUUUGCUUCAGUAUUUUCUUCUUCUUUUAUCAUCCAGGUGGCUGGUGCUCUGAAGAGCACAGGUC